Planoprotostelium fungivorum is the source of this 73-nucleotide non-coding RNA. NCBI's taxonomy places the organism in Eukaryota, Evosea, Variosea, Cavosteliida, Cavosteliaceae. The record is from the annotation of a GenBank genome assembly.
GCCGCAAUAGCUCAGUUGGGAGAGCGUUAGACUGAAGAUCUAAAGGUCACGUGUUCGAUCCACGUUUGUGGCA